Molecule: ribosomal RNA, 584 nt
Filed under: Mucor racemosus
Lineage: Eukaryota; Fungi; Mucoromycota; Mucoromycetes; Mucorales; Mucoraceae
Description: eukaryotic LSU rRNA
Rfam family: 5.8S ribosomal RNA (bases 184-336)
Source: RNAcentral
UUAUUAUCUAUUUACUGUGAACUGUAUUAUUAUUUGACAUUUGAGGGAUGUUCCAAUGUUAUAAGGAUAGACAUUGGAAAUGUUAACCGAGUCAUAAUCAGGUUUAGGCCUGGUAUCCUAUUAUUAUUUACCAAAUGAAUUCAGAAUUAAUAUUGUAACAUAGACCUAAAAAAUCUAUAAAACAACUUUUAACAACGGAUCUCUUGGUUCUCGCAUCGAUGAAGAACGUAGCAAAGUGCGAUAACUAGUGUGAAUUGCAUAUUCAGUGAAUCAUCGAGUCUUUGAACGCAACUUGCGCUCAUUGGUAUUCCAAUGAGCACGCCUGUUUCAGUAUCAAAACAAACCCUCUAUCCAACUUUUGUUGUAUAGGAUUAUUGGGGGCCUCUCGAUCUGUAUAGAUCUUGAAAUCCCUGAAAUUUACUAAGGCCUGAACUUGUUUAAAUGCCUGAACUUUUUUUUAAUAUAAAGGAAAGCUCUUGUAAUUGACUUUGAUGGGGCCUCCCAAAUAAAUCUUUUUUAAAUUUGAUCUGAAAUCAGGCGGGAUUACCCGCUGAACUUAAGCAUAUCAAUAGCCCGGAGGAAAA